GUGGGGAAUUUUGGACAAUGGGCGCAAGCCUGAUCCAGCAAUGCCGCGUGCAGGAAGAAGGCCUUCGGGUUGUAAACUGCUUUUGUACGGAACGAAACGGUCUGGGUUAAUACCCUGGGCUAAUGACGGUACCGUAAGAAUAAGCACCGGCUAACUACGUGCCAGCAGCCGCGGUAAUACGUAGGGUGCAAGCGUUAAUCGGAAUUACUGGGCGUAAAGCGUGCGCAGGCGGUUUUGUAAGACAGGCGUGAAAUCCCCGGGCUCAACCUGGGAAUUGCGCUUGUGACUGCAAGGCUGGAGUGCGGCAGAGGGGGAUGGAAUUCCGCGUGUAGCAGUGAAAUGCGUAGAUAUGCGGAGGAACACCGAUGGCGAAGGCAAUCCCCUGGGCCUGCACUGACGCUCAUGCACGAAAGCGUGGGGAGCAAACAGGAUUAGAUACCCGGGUAGUCU
This 450-nucleotide ribosomal RNA is filed under the name uncultured bacterium. RNAcentral describes it as "bacterial SSU rRNA". It matches the Rfam family "Bacterial small subunit ribosomal RNA", at positions 354 to 796 of the family's 1533-position model. The record is from RNAcentral.